RNAcentral lists this ribosomal RNA (229 nucleotides) under uncultured bacterium. RNAcentral describes it as "partial 16S ribosomal RNA". It matches the Rfam family "Bacterial small subunit ribosomal RNA", at positions 568 to 796 of the family's 1533-position model. The record is from RNAcentral.
UCCGUAGGUGGAUAAUUAAGUCAGAGGUGAAAUCCUGCAGCUCAACUGUAGAAUUGCCUUUGAAACUGGUUAUCUUGAAUUAUUGUGAAGUGGUUAGAAUAUGUAGUGUAGCGGUGAAAUGCAUAGAUAUUACAUAGAAUACCAAUUGCGAAGGCAGAUCACUAACAAUAUAUUGACACUGAUGGACGAAAGCGUGGGGGGCGAACAGGAUUAGAUACCCUGGUAGUCC